GAUGAACGCUAGCGGCGUGCCUUAUGCAUGCAAGUCGAACGGUCUUAAGCAAUUAAGAUAGUGGCAAACGGGUGAGUAACGCGUAAGUAACCUACCUCUAAGUGGGGGAUAGCUUCGGGAAACUGAAGGUAAUACCGCAUGUGAUGGGCUGACAUAAGUCGGUUCAUUAAAGCCGCAAGGUGCUUGGUGAGGGGCUUGCGUCCGAUUAGCUAGUUGGUGGGGUAAUGGCCUACCAAGGCUUCGAUCGGUAGCUGGUCUGAGAGGAUGAUCAGCCACACUGGGACUGAGACACGGCCCAGACUCCUACGGGAGGCAGCAGCAAGGAAUCUUGGGCAAUGGGCGAAAGCCUGACCCAGCAACGCCGCGUGAGGGAUGAAGGCUUUCGGGUUGUAAACCUCUUUUCACAGGGAAGAAUAAUGACGGUACCUGUGGAAUAAGCUUCGGCUAACUACGUGCCAGCAACCGCGGUAAUACGUAGGAAGCAAGCGUUAUCCGGAUUUAUUGGGCGUAAAGUGAGCGUAGGUGGUCUUUCAAGUUGGAUGUGAAAUUUCCCGGCUUAACCGGGACGUGUCAUUCAAUACUGUUGGACUAGAGUACAGCAGGAGAAAACGGAAUUCCCGGUGUAGUGGUAAAAUGCGUAGAUAUCGGGAGGAACACCAGAGGCGAAGGCGGUUUUCUAGGUUGUCACUGACACUGAGGCUCGAAAGCGUGGGGAGCGAACAGAAUUAGAUACUCUGGUAGUCCACGCCUUAAACUAUGGACACUAGGUAUAGGGAG
RNAcentral lists this ribosomal RNA (777 nucleotides) under uncultured Dehalococcoides sp. Its description in RNAcentral is "bacterial SSU rRNA". It matches the Rfam family "Bacterial small subunit ribosomal RNA", at positions 28 to 829 of the family's 1533-position model. The record is from RNAcentral. Lineage: Bacteria; Bacillati; Chloroflexota; Dehalococcoidia; Dehalococcoidales; Dehalococcoidaceae.